Molecule: unclassified non-coding RNA, 325 nt
Organism: Cebus imitator (Panamanian white-faced capuchin)
Lineage: Eukaryota; Metazoa; Chordata; Mammalia; Primates; Cebidae
Gene: 7SK
Rfam family: 7SK RNA
About the family: 7SK was discovered as an abundant small nuclear RNA in the mid-70s but a possible function has only recently been suggested. Two independent studies have found that 7SK RNA binds the CDK9/cyclin T complex (known as elongation factor P-TEFb). P-TEFb activates transcription by phosphorylating the C-terminal domain of RNA polymerase II.
Source: Ensembl
GGAUGUGAGGGUGCUCUCACUGCAACAUCUGUCACUCUAUGGAUUGCCAGGGUUGAUUUGGCCCAUCUGACUGUCCAGGCAGGUGUCCCCUUCCUCCUUCACUGCUCCAUGUGCAUCCCACCUGAAGCUGUGUGCUUGGUCAAAGAGGACGAUCAUCCCUGAUAGAGAAGGGCCAGUCUUCAGGCAAGGAUAUACAAGUAGCUGCACUCCCCUGCUAGAACCUACAGUCAAGCUUUCAAGAAAAGGCUCAGGUAUGGCCGGGUGCAGUGGCUCAUGCCUGUAAUCCCAGCACUUUGGGAGACUGAGGCAGGCAGAUUGCCUGAGG